This 729-nucleotide ribosomal RNA is filed under the name uncultured eukaryote. RNAcentral's name for it is "SSU rRNA". It matches the Rfam family "Eukaryotic small subunit ribosomal RNA", at positions 670 to 1426 of the family's 1831-position model. The record is from RNAcentral.
CGGGUGCACUGAUCCAGCCGGGCCUUUCCCUCUGUGGAACCCCAUGGCCUUCACUGGCUGUGGUGGGGAAACAGGACUUUUACUUUGAAAAAAUUAGAGUGCUCCAGGCAGGCCUAUGCUCGAAUACAUUAGCAUGGAAUCAUAGAAUAGGACGUGUGGUUCUAUUUUGUUGGUUUCUAGGACCGCCGUAAUGAUUAAUAGGGACAGUCGGGGGCAUCAGUAUUCAAUUGUCAGAGGUGAAAUUCUUGGAUCUAUUGAAGACUAACUACUGCGAAAGCAUUUGCCAAGGAUGUUUUCAUUGAUAAGGAACGAAAGUUAGGGGAUCGAAGACGAUCAGAUACCGUCGUAGUCUUAACUAUAAACUAUGCCGACUAGGGAUCGGAUGAUGUUAUUCUUUGACGCGUUCGGCACCUUUCGAGAAAUCAAAGUGCUUGGGCUCCAGGGGGAGUAUGGUCGCAAGGCUGAAACUUAAAGAAAUUGACGGAAGGGCACCACCAGGGGUGGAACCUGCGGCUUAAUUUGACUCAACACGGGGAAACUCACCAGGUCCAGACACAGUGAGGAUUGACAGAUUGAGAGCUCUUUCUUGAUUCUGUGGGUGGUGGUGCAUGGCCGUUCUUAGUUGGUGGAGUGAUUUGUCUGCUUAAUUGCGAUAACGAACGAGACCUUAACCUGCUAAAUAGCCCGUACUGCUUUGGCAGUUCGCCGGCUUCUUAGAGGGACUAUCGG